ACGGCGAAGUAAUACAUGAACAACGUGCCCUAAAGCCUGGGAUAUACAGUCGAAAGACUGGGCAAUACCAGAUGUGCCGGAAAGACCUCCUGAUCUUUCCAGUAAAGGAUUUAUUCACUUUAGGAGCGGUUCAUGGCCUAUCAGGUAGUUGGUGGGGUAAUGGCCUACCAAGCCGACGACGGGUAGCGGGUCUGAGAGGAUGAUCCGCUCGAGUGGGACUGAGACACGGCCCACACACCUACGGGUGGCAGCAGUUGGGAAUCUUGCACAAUGGGGGAAACCCUGAUGCAGCGACGCCGCGUGGAGGAUGAAGGGUCUAGGCCUGUAAACUCCUUUUAUCGGGAAAGACUUAGGACGGUACCCGAUGAAUAAGCACCGGCUAACUACGUGCCAGCAGCCGCGGUAAGACGUAGGGUGCAAGCGUUGUCCGGAUUUACUGGGCGUAAAGAGCGCGUAGGCGGUCUGUUAAGUGUAGAGUGAAAUCUCCGGGCUCACCCCGGAAACUGCUCUGCAUACUGGCAGACUUGAGGGAUGCAGAGGUUUGUGGAGUUCCUGGUGUAGCGGUGAAAUGCGUUGA
Molecule: ribosomal RNA, 577 nt
Filed under: uncultured Armatimonadota bacterium
Lineage: Bacteria; Bacillati; Armatimonadota
Description: bacterial SSU rRNA
Rfam family: Bacterial small subunit ribosomal RNA
Source: RNAcentral